Molecule: ribosomal RNA, 1353 nt
Filed under: Herbiconiux sp. FXJ8.147
Lineage: Bacteria; Bacillati; Actinomycetota; Actinomycetes; Micrococcales; Microbacteriaceae
Description: bacterial SSU rRNA
Rfam family: Bacterial small subunit ribosomal RNA
Source: RNAcentral
GCAGGAGCUUGCUCUUGUGGAUCAGUGGCGAACGGGUGAGUAACACGUGAGUAACCUGCCCUUGACUCUGGGAUAAGCGUUGGAAACGACGUCUAAUACCGGAUACGAGCUGAGACCGCAUGGUCAUCAGUUGGAAAGAAUUUUGGUCAAGGAUGGACUCGCGGCCUAUCAGCUUGUUGGUGAGGUAAUGGCUCACCAAGGCGACGACGGGUAGCCGGCCUGAGAGGGUGACCGGCCACACUGGGACUGAGACACGGCCCAGACUCCUACGGGAGGCAGCAGUGGGGAAUAUUGCACAAUGGGCGCAAGCCUGAUGCAGCAACGCCGCGUGAGGGAUGACGGCCUUCGGGUUGUAAACCUCUUUUAGUAGGGAAGAAGCGAAAGUGACGGUACCUGCAGAAAAAGCACCGGCUAACUACGUGCCAGCAGCCGCGGUAAUACGUAGGGUGCAAGCGUUGUCCGGAAUUAUUGGGCGUAAAGAGCUCGUAGGCGGUUUGUCGCGUCUGCUGUGAAAACUGGAGGCUCAACCUCCAGCCUGCAGUGGGUACGGGCAGACUAGAGUGCGGUAGGGGAGAUUGGAAUUCCUGGUGUAGCGGUGGAAUGCGCAGAUAUCAGGAGGAACACCGAUGGCGAAGGCAGAUCUCUGGGCCGUAACUGACGCUGAGGAGCGAAAGCGUGGGGAGCGAACAGGAUUAGAUACCCUGGUAGUCCACGCCGUAAACGUUGGGAACUAGAUGUGGGGACCAUUCCACGGUCUCCGUGUCGCAGCUAACGCAUUAAGUUCCCCGCCUGGGGAGUACGGCCGCAAGGCUAAAACUCAAAGGAAUUGACGGGGGCCCGCACAAGCGGCGGAGCAUGCGGAUUAAUUCGAUGCAACGCGAAGAACCUUACCAAGGCUUGACAUAUACGAGAACGGGCCAGAAAUGGUCAACUCUUUGGACACUCGUAAACAGGUGGUGCAUGGUUGUCGUCAGCUCGUGUCGUGAGAUGUUGGGUUAAGUCCCGCAACGAGCGCAACCCUCGUUCUAUGUUGCCAGCACGUUAUGGUGGGAACUCAUAGGAGACUGCCGGGGUCAACUCGGAGGAAGGUGGGGAUGACGUCAAAUCAUCAUGCCCCUUAUGUCUUGGGCUUCACGCAUGCUACAAUGGCCGGUACAAAGGGCUGCAAUACCGUAAGGUGGAGCGAAUCCCAAAAAGCCGGUCUCAGUUCGGAUUGAGGUCUGCAACUCGACCUCAUGAAGUCGGAGUCGCUAGUAAUCGUGAAUCAGCAACGUCACGGUGAAUACGUUCCCGGGCCUUGUACACACCGCCCGUCAAGUCAUGAAAGUCGGUAACACCCGAAGCCGGUGGCCC